AUAUUAAAGUUGUUGCAGUUAAAAAGCUCGUAGUUGGAUUUCGGAAGGUCCUUAGUAAUCCGCCCCUUCGGGGAGCGGGUUGCUGGCCUCCUAUGUUCCUAACGGUCCUCGUCCGCGAGGGCGGGGAAUCAACCGCUAGGAUCGUUUACUUUGAGGAAAUUAGAGUGUUCAAAGCAGGCGUAACUCGCCUCCGAAUACGUUAGCAUGGGAUAAUGGAAUACGACUUCGGUCUUGUUUCGUUGGUUUCGCUUGGCUGAAGUAAUGAUUGAUAGGGACAGUUGGGGGCAUUAGUAUUUAGUUGUCAGAGGUGAAAUUCUAGGAUUUACUAAAGACUGACCAAUGCGAAAGCAUUUGCCAAGGAUGUUUUCAUUAAUCAAGAACGAAAGUAGGGGGAUCGAAGACGAUCAGAUACCGUCGUAGUCUCUACCGUAAACUAUGCCGACCAGGGAUCCGGAGAGUUUGCAUGGAUGACUCCCCGGGCACCUUGUGAGAAAUCAUAAGUGUUUGGGUUUUG
This 514-nucleotide ribosomal RNA is filed under the name uncultured Vermamoeba. Its description in RNAcentral is "SSU rRNA". It matches the Rfam family "Eukaryotic small subunit ribosomal RNA", at positions 601 to 1116 of the family's 1831-position model. The record is from RNAcentral. Lineage: Eukaryota; Tubulinea; Elardia; Euamoebida; Hartmannellidae.